UACGUAGGGGGCUAGCGUUGUCCGGAAUCAUAGGGCGUAAAGCGCGUGUAGGCGGUCCGGUAAGUCCGCUGUGAAAGUCGGGGGCUCAACCCUCGGAUGCCGGUGGAUACUGUCGGGCUUGAGUACGGAAGAGGCGAGUGGAAUUCCUGGUGUAGCGGUGAAAUGCGCAGAUAUCAGGAGGAACACCAAUUGCGAAGGCAGCUCGCUGGGACGUUACUGACGCUGAGACGCGAAAGCGUGGGGAGCAAACAGG
This 253-nucleotide ribosomal RNA is filed under the name uncultured bacterium. RNAcentral's name for it is "partial 16S ribosomal RNA". It matches the Rfam family "Bacterial small subunit ribosomal RNA", at positions 524 to 776 of the family's 1533-position model. The record is from RNAcentral.